UGGGGAAUAUUGGACAAUGGGCGCAAGCCUGAUCCAGCAAUGCCGCGUGUGUGAAGAAGGUUUUCGGAUUGUAAAGCACUUUCGGCGGGGACGAUGAUGACGGUACCCGCAGAAGAAGCCCCGGCUAACUUCGUGCCAGCAGCCGCGGUAAUACGAAGGGGGCUAGCGUUGCUCGGAAUGACUGGGCGUAAAGGGCGCGUAGGCGGAUGUGACAGUCAGACGUGAAAUUCCUGGGCUCAACCUGGGGACUGCGUUUGAGACGUUAUAUCUUGAGUGAGGAAGAGGGUUGUGGAAUUCCCAGUGUAGAGGUGAAAUUCGUAGAUAUUGGGAAGAACACCGGUGGCGAAGGCGGCAACCUGGUCCUUGACUGACGCUGAGGCGCGAAAGCGUGGGGAGCAAACAG
Molecule: ribosomal RNA, 403 nt
Filed under: uncultured bacterium
Lineage: Bacteria
Description: bacterial SSU rRNA
Rfam family: Bacterial small subunit ribosomal RNA
Source: RNAcentral